This is an RNA transcript of Malania oleifera, 4852 nucleotides long. RefSeq lists it as uncharacterized. Lineage: Eukaryota; Viridiplantae; Streptophyta; Magnoliopsida; Santalales; Ximeniaceae. The transcript is spliced from 2 exons. The record is from RefSeq and is a predicted model, not a curated record.
CAGUAACUCUCGGACAGAGUCAAGAUUGCCAGAUGCAGCGGCAAGGUGAAGCGGGUGGCGGCCUUCCCCGUCAAGCAACUCCAUGGAGUCUGGGCAGAAAUCGAGUAUGGCUCUUAUGUUUUCAAUUGAACUGGAUCUAUCAUCGAGGAAGACGAUUGGCACUGCUAAGGCGUAUGAAGGAUUCUACUACUUUGAGGAGGCAUGCUUGAGUAAACAAUAUAAUACUAUAAUUUGUGAUUCUAUAUCUAUCUCUAGAAAGAAUGAACUUUUGUUAUGGCAUUCUAGGAUGUGUCACCCAAAUCUUCAAUAUUUAGAACGUUUCAGCUUCCUCAUCAUUCAUCUCUCUGGUUUUAAUUUUUUUUCCUCUGCAAUCUUUCUGCUUUCAUGAAAUUGUGUCAGAUUGCAUUCAUGAAAUGGUAUCAGGGAUAGCAGAUUGCAAAUUGUAAAAUCUUGUGUUUCUUCUUUCUUGAAGAAAACACAUUCAGCUUUUCAAUUCUCUUUCUUUCUCGUGUUUCUUUUUCCAUGCCUUCCUUUACUUCAUCCUCUGAAAAUGAUUCAUCUAAUCCUUAUUUUAUGCAUCAUGGUGAAAACCUUGGUUCACUUCUAGUUUCUUAGCAAUUGAUUGGAUAUGAUGAUUAUCCCAGUUGGAGGCGUGCCAUAAUAUUGGCUUUAUCAGCCAAAAACAAAUAUGGUUUUAUAAAUGGUACGAUAUCCAAGCCUAAGGAUGAAGAUCCUUUGUCUGCAGCUUGAUCAAAAUGUAAUGCAAUGAUUCUUUCAUGGCUCUUGCAUGAUGUUUCCAGAGAAAUUGCGUCAAGUGUUCUUUACCAUGCGAUUAUGUGCUGCAAUUUCUUAUGGGGUUAAAUGAUACAUAUUCACAAAUUCAUGGACAAAUAUUGUUAAGUGAUCCACUGCCUUCAAUCAGCAAGGUGUAUGCACUAAUUGUUCAGGAAGAGCGUCAACGAGCUGUUGCAGGGCAUGUGCCUUCCAUUGAAUCUGCAGCAAUGUUGAGUAAGACUUAUUCUUCAAAUGCACAUCAGCAAAGAUAUCAGAAAAAUAACAAGCAGAAGGGGCCAUGUUCUCAUUGUGGUCAUGAGAAUCACACAGCUGACAAAUGUUAUAAACUACAUGGUUACCCUCCCGAGUAGAUAUACUACUUCUGCUCAUCAAGUCAUUGCUGAUAAAGAUUUAGUUAGUGCAGUAAAUUCUUAUCCUUUUACUCCAGAGCAAUGUGAGCAGCUUCUAAGUCUCCUCAAGGCUCCUAACUCUUCAUCUUCGUCAUCUACCUUUGCUGUAAAUAACAACACCACAUAUUCCAUGUCAGGUAUUAGGUCCUUGCCUAGUAUCUUUUCUGUUUUUCAGUCUGAUAAAAUCAGCCCUUGGAUCAUUGAUAUGGGGGCCACUGAUCACAUCAUACAUUUGGCAUCUAUGUUUUAUACUUACUCUCGUAUUACAUCUAAAGUUCAACUUCCAAACGGACAAAAGGUUGAGUCCACUCAUAUUGGUACUGUUAAGCUUUCUAAUGAUUUAUGCUUAACUGAUGUGUUGUGUGUCCCUGCAUUUAAUUUCAAUCUUCUUUUAAUUAGCAAAUUGACUUCCAACUCACACUUAUGGCUGUAUUUUACUCCUUCACACUGUUAUAUACAAGACCUUGUGAGCAAGAAGAUAAUUGGAGUGGGCAAAGCAACUAAAGGACUUUAUUACUUGCUGUUACCUGGAUCUAAGGACCUUCCGGAAUCAAAAUCUGCUAUAGCUACUUCUUUUUUCAUAUUCAGUUCAUUGUAUGAAUUUUGAUUUGUCUGAAAAAGAUCUUUGGCAUUGUCGCUUGGGACACCCUUCUGGUUCAAAACUAUCUUUGUUACAUAAUGACAUUCCAAGCAUAAAUAAAGGUAGUCUUCAUAUCUGUCACAUAUGCCCAUUAGCAAAACAACACAAGUUAUCAUUCAAACCAAGUUCAAUCCAUACAACAAAACCUUUUUAAAUGAUACACUGUGAUAUUUGGGGUCCUUUUUCCACGUGUAAUGGAUGGUUCUCGAUAUUUUUUUACUAUUAUAGAUGAUUACACUCGAAGUACAUGGUCAUUCCUUAUGGCACAAAAAUCUCAGACACGGUCCAUUCUACAGUAUUUUGUUCAAUUAAUUUCCACUCAAUUUGAAACCACAAUCAAAGUAUUAAGAUCAGAUAAUGGUUCUAAAUUUAAUAUGAAAGAGUUUUUCCAAUCAAAAGGAAUUAUUCAUCAUUUGAGUUGUGUGGAAACGCCUCAGCAAAAUGCUGUCGUUGAACGAAAACACCAGCACCUAUUAAAUGUAGCUCGAGCCUCAAUGUUUCAAGCUUCCUACCCUUAAAAUUUUGGGGGGAUUGUAUCCUUACAGCCAUAUAUUUGAUUAAUAGAACACCAUCUUCAGUUUUAAAAGGCAAGUCACCAUAUGAGAUGUUAUUUGGAAAGCCACCCUUAUAUGAUCAAUUACAUAUUCUUGGCUGUUUUUGUUAUGCCUCAACACUUAGUCAAAACAGAUCAAAGUUUGAUCCUCGAGCAAAGGCAUGUAUUUUUAUUGGCUAUCCUCAUGGCAUUAAGGGUUACAACUUAUAUGACUUGCAUUCAAAGACAAUUUUUGUAUCUCGUAAUGUGGUUUUUCAUGAAACCAUCUUUCCCCUUGUUUCCAAUAAACAGGCUCACACAGACACACCUCUUACUCCAAUAAUCCCAAAUCCUAUGCCUGAGUACGAAUGUCAUGAUAACAUCUUUAAUGGUCAAAACUCGCAGAAUCAUCCACAAGCACAAUCAAGUCCUUUUCCUACAGAUUCUAUUACUCCAUCUUCAAUUUUCCUACCAUAUAUACAAUUCCUAUUUCAGUUUCUACAGAGCCAGAUACACAUCACAAUGAGUCACCCUCAGUAGACAACACCCUUUCCGAUCCUACAGACCACUCACUACCACCUGUCAACAUUCCUUUCAUUCCACGAAGGUCUACUAGACAUAGGAAACAUGCCAGUUAUUUAAAGGACUUUCAUUGUAAUGCUGCAGACCACUUCAAGGAUGAAUCUUGCUCAUCAGGUACACUGUAUCCCUUUUCUUCAGUUCUAUCUUAUCAUCGUUUGUCUUCAUCUCACAAAUGUUUUACACUAGCAUUAUCCAUGCAUCACCAGCCUCGUAGUUUUCAAGAAGCUUCUAAAGUCGCACAUUGAUGUGAUGCCAUGAAUGUUGAAAUUAGGGCACUUAAGGAAAAUAAAACCUGGACUCUCACUAAUCUACCGACAGAAAAGACUCCCGUAGGAUGCAAGUGGGUUAUAAAGUGAAACAUAAGGCUGAUGGAAGCAUUGAGCGAUAUAAGGCUAGUCUGGUUGCAAAGGGUUUUAGUGUUUUACGCAAUGUGAGGGGAUUGACUAUCAAGAGACUUUUUCACCUAUUGUGAAGAUGAGCACAGUGAGAUCAAUAUUAGCUCUGGCAGCUAUUCAUAACUGGUAUUUACAUCAACUAGAUGUAAAUAAUGCCUUUUUACAUGGGGACCUUGAAGAAGAAGUAUACAUGACCAUUCCUCCAGGUUAUCAUACUUCAUCAUAAUCACAAGUUUUGCGUUUAAAUAAUUCUCUUUAUGGUUUAAAACAGGCCUCGAGAAAACGGUUCUCCAAGCUCUCCAAUACUCUGAUUUCUGAUGGAUUUAUUCAGUCUGAAGCAGAUAAAUCUAUGUUCAUCAAGAAGACUAGAACUUUUUUAUUGCUCUAUUGGUUUACGUGGAUGAUAUCGUGCUUGUUUCUAAUGCUGCAUCACCAAUUCCAGAAUUUACAUCAUUCUUAAAUACUAAGUUCAAAUUAAAGGGCUUAGGUCCUCUAAAAUAUUUUCUUGGCUUGGAAAUCUCUCAAGCAAAACAAGGUAUUUCAGUGUGCCAACGAAAAUAUGCACUUGAUUUGUUAGAAGUUGCUGGAAUGUUAGCAGCUAAGCCAGCAAACUUUCCAAUGGAUCCCCAUUUAAAACUCUCUCAGUAUGAAGGUGAUUUAUUGACUGAUGUUACACAUUAUAGGAGAUUAAUUGGUCGAUUACUUUAUCUCACAGUUACAAGGCCUGAUAUCUCUUACUCAGUACAAGUUGUCAGCCAAUUCUUGAAUGAACCAAGAAAACCACAUCUUGAUGCUGCUAUAAGUGUUUCGAGAUACAUUAAAGGUGCAUCAUCACAAGGAUUGUUCUACUCCAAUUCUUCUUUAACACAUCUGAAAUUUUUUUCAGACUCUGAUUGGGCAGGUUGUGUUGACACUAGACGUUUAGUAACAGGGAUUUGUGUUUUCAUUGGUGAUUCUCUUGUGGCUUGGAAAUCUAAGAAACAGACCGUCAUUUCUCAUUCCUCUGCAGAAUCAGAAUGCAGCGCUAUGGGAUACAGCAGGUUCAGAAAUCGUUUGGAUGCUUUAACUAUUCCGUGAACUUGACAUUCCUCAUCCACAUUGCUGCUAACCUAGUAUAUCAUGAGCGAACAAAACAUAUCGAGGUGGAUUGUCAUUUUAUUCGGCAACUUAUUCAACAAGGUGUCAUCAAAAGUAUGCUUGUCAAAACAGAAUGUCAACUGGCUGGUAUCUUUACAAAGGCACUGGGUUCUCAAGCUUUCAGCAGUAUUUUGUCCAAGAUGGGUAUUCAUAAUAUUCAUACUCCAUCUUGAGGGGGCAUGUAAAAAUAUAAGUAUUCUUUUCUGUUAUCUGCUGCUGCUGCUACUCCAACUUUUUUUCUGUUGUUUCUUUUGUUCAGUUAUUUAGUUGUUUAGUUAUUCAAUUGAUCUGUUAUUCAGUUGUAUGUGUAUAUAUAUAUCCCUAUGAGUACAACAGGCUAAAUAAGAAAAAGAGAAGCAUUCUCGCAGCUCUCUGUUUUCAA